UGGGGAAUAUUGCGCAAUGGGCGAAAGCCUGACGCAGCGACGCCGCGUGGGGGAUGACGGCCUUCGGGUUGUAAACCUCUUUCGACCGGGACGAAGCGUGAGUGACGGUACCGGUAGAAGAAGCACCGGCCAACUACGUGCCAGCAGCCGCGGUAAUACGUAGGGUGCGAGCGUUGUCCGGAAUUAUUGGGCGUAAAGAGCUCGUAGGCGGUGUGUCGCGUCGGUCGUGAAAACUUGGGGCUUAACCCUGAGCGUGCGGUCGAUACGGGCAUCACUUGAGUUCGGCAGGGGAGACUGGAAUUCCUGGUGUAGCGGUGAAAUGCGCAGAUAUCAGGAGGAACACCGGUGGCGAAGGCGGGUCUCUGGGCCGAUACUGACGCUGAGG
This 385-nucleotide ribosomal RNA is filed under the name uncultured bacterium. Its description in RNAcentral is "bacterial SSU rRNA". It matches the Rfam family "Bacterial small subunit ribosomal RNA", at positions 355 to 751 of the family's 1533-position model. The record is from RNAcentral.